AUUCCGGUAUAGCCUUGUCAUAAAAAAUAAUAUUUAAAUUUUUUUACCGUAACAUUUAGGGUCGCAAUGCUUUAUUAGUACAAUUUUCUUUUUAUUUUUCUUAGCCCUACAGAUGGCUCCAUUACCUGAGCUAAGGCAACUGAUGACUGACAAUAAAUGGCGCGCUAUGGUCGUCAAAUAAGCAUCAUGGAAGUGUGAUAUGGAAACAUGUAUCAAAUAUCCAUAUAUCCGUAGAUAUAUGGAUAUAUCGUAAAUUAAAACAAAAAUAUUGCUUCCUUAAGAUUUUUUUCUCAAUACUAUUGCAUCUACUCACCGGAAACUGGAUGCCGUGUGGCCCUACAUCCAACCGAAACGUAGUUUGGAUAUAUAUGUCAGAUAUAUGUAUGUCAGAAAUAUGCUCCUAGAUUCGAUUGUUUUAGAAGCCCCAGUCCGUUGCAGCCCGGGCACUGCUGUUGUUCUCAUAAUGAUAAUCGCCAUAUUAGCAAGUCUUAGACACUUUUUAUAUUGUGGACACAAAUUCAAAACAAUUAUCUGGCAGAUGGAUAUCAUAAUUAGAGAGAAAUCCAUCUAGACAGUAAGACGUUCAAGUAUUUGGAAUUGAAAGUUUUUGGAACCCAAAGCAUUGUCGAUAUGUGUCAAAAAAUAAAGAAAAAAAAAACCAAACAGUA
This is a long non-coding RNA of Drosophila montana, 668 nucleotides long. RefSeq lists it as uncharacterized. The transcript is spliced from 2 exons. NCBI's taxonomy places the organism in Eukaryota, Metazoa, Arthropoda, Insecta, Diptera, Drosophilidae. The record is from RefSeq and is a predicted model, not a curated record.